This 396-nucleotide ribosomal RNA is filed under the name uncultured bacterium. RNAcentral describes it as "bacterial SSU rRNA". It matches the Rfam family "Bacterial small subunit ribosomal RNA", at positions 29 to 408 of the family's 1533-position model. The record is from RNAcentral.
AACGAACGCUGGCGGCGUGGAUAAGACAUGCAAGUCGAACGAGGUUACUCUUGGUAGCAAUACCGAGAGUGACUUAGUGGCGAACGGGUGCGUAACACGUGGGCAAUCUGCCUUAAAGUGGGGGAUAGCUCGGCGAAAGCCGAAUUAAUACCGCAUGUGAUCAGCCAAGACAUCUUGGCGACAUCAAAGCCGGGGCAACCUGGCGCUUUUUGAGGAGCCCGCGGCCUAUCAGCUAGUUGGUGAGGUAACGGCCCACCAAGGCUUUGACGGGUAGCUGGUCUGAGAGGACGACCAGUCACACUGGAACUGAGACACGGUCCAGACACCUACGGGUGGCAGCAGUCGAGUAAUUUUUCUCAAUGGGGCAACCCUGAAGGAGCGACGCCGCGUGGAGGA